RNAcentral lists this long non-coding RNA (483 nucleotides) under Pan troglodytes (chimpanzee). Its description in RNAcentral is "long non-coding RNA NONPTRT009706". The record is from RNAcentral. Lineage: Eukaryota; Metazoa; Chordata; Mammalia; Primates; Hominidae.
GAGUGCGGAUGGCAGCCGGGGUCCUUGCCAGAGAGUCUCAGUGACGAGGCAGGGUCUCCACGCACUGGAAUAGUGUCAAACCACACACAAGGGCACAGAACCCAGGGACACAGGGCGGCUGAGACACGCAGCUGGUGAUGGCCCUCAGGACGGUGUCAACCAGUAUGUAAUCACAUUCCACACGGCACCAACUGGACAGCGGCCUCCGGUCAGCCUCACUCUGACUGCAACCCCCUCUCACUGGACAGCAUCACCUGGACACAGAGCCUCACCUAGUCUGUGUCCCGUGGACACAACUUUGCUUUGGACAGUGACACCAAGAAUACUCACCCCUUUACUUAGCCAGACCACAGGCAGCCACUGGGACACAAACAUCUCUCCAGAGUCACCCUCCACACAGACUCCACAGCAGAACUCCCAGGGAGGCACUGGGGCAUGGCUUCAGAGCACCAGGCAGCCCUCCGCGGUGCCCAGCACCCGCUC